Molecule: ribosomal RNA, 1333 nt
Filed under: uncultured bacterium
Lineage: Bacteria
Description: bacterial SSU rRNA
Rfam family: Bacterial small subunit ribosomal RNA
Source: RNAcentral
GACGAACGCUGGCGGCGCGCCUAACACAUGCAAGUCGAACGAGAGAUGAGGAGCUUGCUCUUCAAAUCGAGUGGCGAACGGGUGAGUAACGCGUGAGGAACCUGCCUCAAAGAGGGGGACAACAGUUGGAAACGACUGCUAAUACCGCAUAAGCCCACGGCUCGGCAUCGAGCAGAGGGAAAAGGAGCAAUCCGCUUUGAGAUGGCCUCGCGUCCGAUUAGCUAGUUGGUGAGGUAACGGCCCACCAAGGCGACGAUCGGUAGCCGGACUGAGAGGUUGAACGGCCACAUUGGGACUGAGACACGGCCCAGACUCCUACGGGAGGCAGCAGUGGGGAAUAUUGCACAAUGGGGGAAACCCUGAUGCAGCGACGCCGCGUGGAGGAAGAAGGUCUUCGGAUUGUAAACUCCUGUUGUUGAGGAAGAUAAUGACGGUACUCAACAAGGAAGUGACGGCUAACUACGUGCCAGCAGCCGCGGUAAAACGUAGGUCACAAGCGUUGUCCGGAAUUACUGGGUGUAAAGGGAGCGCAGGCGGGAGAACAAGUUGGAAGUGAAAUCCAUGGGCUCAACCCAUGAACUGCUUUCAAAACUGUUUUUCUUGAGUAGUGCAGAGGUAGGCGGAAUUCCCGGUGUAGCGGUGGAAUGCGUAGAUAUCGGGAGGAACACCAGUGGCGAAGGCGGCCUACUGGGCACCAACUGACGCUGAGGCUCGAAAGUGUGGGUAGCAAACAGGAUUAGAUACCCUGGUAGUCCACACCGUAAACGAUGAUUACUAGGUGUUGGAGGAUUGACCCCUUCAGUGCCGCAGUUAACACAAUAAGUAAUCCACCUGGGGAGUACGACCGCAAGGUUGAAACUCAAAGGAAUUGACGGGGGCCCGCACAAGCAGUGGAGUAUGUGGUUUAAUUCGACGCAACGCGAAGAACCUUACCAAGUCUUGACAUCCCUUGACGAUGCUGGAAACAGUAUUUCUCUUCGGAGCAAGGAGACAGGUGGUGCAUGGUUGUCGUCAGCUCGUGUCGUGAGAUGUUGGGUUAAGUCCCGCAACGAGCGCAACCCUUAUGGUCAGUUACUACGCAAGAGGACUCUGGCCAGACUGCCGUUGACAAAACGGAGGAAGGUGGGGAUGACGUCAAAUCAUCAUGCCCUUUAUGACUUGGGCUACACACGUACUACAAUGGCGUUAAACAAAGAGAAGCAAGACCGCGAGGUGGAGCAAAACUCAGAAACAACGUCCCAGUUCGGACUGCAGGCUGCAACUCGCCUGCACGAAGUCGGAAUUGCUAGUAAUCGUGGAUCAGCUUGCCACGGUGAAAUACGUUCCCGGGCCU